CACCGCGGUUAAACGAGAGGCUCAAGUUGAUAAACAACGGCAUAAAGCGUGGUUAAGAGACAUGGUGCAACUAAAGUUAAACAUUUUCACAGCAGUUAUACGCACACGAAAGUAUGAGAACCACCCACGAAAGUGACUUUACUACCCUGAACCCACGUAAGCUAAGGUA
RNAcentral lists this ribosomal RNA (169 nucleotides) under Brachirus harmandi. Its description in RNAcentral is "partial 12S rRNA". The record is from RNAcentral. Lineage: Eukaryota; Metazoa; Chordata; Actinopteri; Pleuronectiformes; Soleidae.